AUUUAAUUUCUGUAGAAAAAUGUAGGUCUUUAGACACUGUUUACAACCAUCAGUGACUCUGCUGUUCAGAUAUCUUCAUACAAGUUCAUUCCACCAUCUAGGUGCCAGAACAAAGAAGAGUCUUGAUGCAUGCCUUGCUUGUACCCUGAGAGAUGGUGGCACCAGUCUAGCGGUGCUAGAGCUUCGGAGGGAGUACAGUGCAGUGCGGGGGGUGAUAACUGAUUUGAGGUUUGCGGGGAUCCUGGAGCCUAUCCCAUGGAGCAUGGGGCACAAGGCAAGCUGAGUGGUUAAGUGCCUUGCCCCAUUUUCUGUGCUCAACGGGUUAAAUCGAGGCCAUACAUAUGCAUCCCACAAUGGAGUUAUAAAGAGUUAAGUGAGAUCUUGUUGUGUGUUUGCUAAGUGAAUAUUGCAUCUCUGUAACUACCAGGAUAAAACAAAUAACAUCACACAGACACCUCUGCGAAUUU
Ictalurus punctatus (channel catfish) is the source of this 467-nucleotide long non-coding RNA. The record is from Ensembl. Lineage: Eukaryota; Metazoa; Chordata; Actinopteri; Siluriformes; Ictaluridae.